UACGGGAGGCAGCAGUGGGGAAUAUUGCACAAUGGGCGGAAGCCUGAUGCAGCGACGCCGCGUGGGGAUGACGGCCUUCGGGUUGUAAACUCCUUUCGACAGGGACGAAGCUUUUUGUGACGGUACCUGUAUAAGAAGCACCGGCUAACUACGUGCCAGCAGCCGCGGUAAUACGUAGGGUGCGAGCGUUGUCCGGAAUUACUGGGCGUAAAGAGCUCGUAGGUGGUUUGUCGCGUCGUCUGUGAAAUUCCGGGGCUUAACUCCGGGCGUGCAGGCGAUACGGGCAUAACUUGAGUGCUGUAGGGGAGACUGGAAUUCCUGGUGUAGCGGUGAAAUGCGCAGAUAUCAGGAGGAACACCGAUGGCGAAGGCAGGUCUCUGGGCAGUUACUGACGCUGAGGAGCGAAAGCAUGGGUAGCGAACAGGAUUAGAUACC
This 435-nucleotide ribosomal RNA is filed under the name uncultured bacterium. RNAcentral's name for it is "bacterial SSU rRNA". It matches the Rfam family "Bacterial small subunit ribosomal RNA", at positions 340 to 786 of the family's 1533-position model. The record is from RNAcentral.